AGUAUGAAAUUUUGGAAAGUUGAU
RNAcentral lists this non-coding RNA (24 nucleotides) under Cricetulus griseus (Chinese hamster). Lineage: Eukaryota; Metazoa; Chordata; Mammalia; Rodentia; Cricetidae. The record is from RNAcentral.